Molecule: long non-coding RNA, 1029 nt
Filed under: Anas platyrhynchos platyrhynchos (common mallard)
Lineage: Eukaryota; Metazoa; Chordata; Aves; Anseriformes; Anatidae
Description: lncRNA (ENSAPLG00000018063.1)
Source: RNAcentral
AUGUUGAAAAUGUUGGCUGGGGAGGCAGCACGGGGGGGACAGAGCCGAUGGCCCCCCAGGUGCCAGCACCGGGCGGUGGGGAGAGGUGGCAGGGAGAGGUUUGGGCACCCUCCUGUCCUCCUCCCCGUCCCGCGGCCGGCCCCGAGGAGCUAUUUCGGGCAGGGUAAACAGGAUGGCUCACACACACCGCCACCUCCUCUCCUCCCACCCUCCUUCCUCCAGGAGAAGCCUCACGGCCCAGCGAUGCCGCCCGGCCGUGGCCCACCUCGGCCUGGGCUCGGCCUCCACGGCGCUUCGGCCUUCCCCACCUCCUCCUCUUCCUCCCCCAGGAGCCCGCCGGGGCCGUUUCCGCCUCGCCUGCUGCUGUGGGGAGGCAGCGGAGGAGCCGCGGCCCCGGCGCUGGAAGGAGGAGCUUUCCCAACGCUUCCUCCAUCUGCCUGGCUCCCCCUGCUCCUCACGCCGCCACAGCCCAGGCCCCGGCCGCUCGGUGGCCGCCAUCCCCGGCCGUGUGCGAGCCCUGCAGGCAGUGCCGGGCCCAGAGGGGCUCCACUUGAGCCUCUGCUCCCAAACCACAGCGGCACUGAUGCCGGCUCCCUCUUGUCUCCCCGCAGCACGCAGCCACGCUGCCUGUACCCCAUGGCCGUGGAGCCUCCCCGCUCCCCAUCCCAGCCUCCUGCCCGGCAAAGGAGGCUGAGGGACCCCCAUGGCCGCCCUCCUGCACCCCAGCGGGGCCUGGCACAGCCCGGCACAGCCCGGCACGCCUCGCCUCGGUGCUGGCGGCAGCUCAAGGCUGAGGUUUACGAGGAGCUGGGCGUGGAGCAGGUAGCAAGGGAGGCGCGGGUGUUGCAAUCGGCCUCUGAGGCAACGUCGGGGAGCCGAGGCCGGUGCCAGGAGGGACCCGUUCGGCUGGCGCCAGAGCCCGCGGGGGCUGGCACGGGGCCCGCUCUGUGUGUGUGUGUGUGUGUGCUGGGGAGGCCACGGGGGGAGGAGAAGGGGGCUGAACGCCCCCAGCACCCUGCCCCGGGCUGA